Molecule: non-coding RNA, 100 nt
Organism: Chelonoidis abingdonii (Abingdon island giant tortoise)
Lineage: Eukaryota; Metazoa; Chordata; Testudines; Testudinidae
Source: RefSeq, a predicted model, not a curated record
CCUUUGAUUUGGGUGCUGGGGCCUGCUGGCCAUGCCACUCCUUUUCGUUCACGGAUGGAACCACGAGUGAACAGGGCUGUGGGUGGACAUGAAGAUAUUU